Molecule: ribosomal RNA, 465 nt
Filed under: uncultured bacterium
Lineage: Bacteria
Description: partial 16S ribosomal RNA
Rfam family: Bacterial small subunit ribosomal RNA
Source: RNAcentral
CCUACGGGGGGCAGCAGUAGGGAAUCUUCCACAAUGGGCGAAAGCCUGAUGGAGCAACGCAGCGUGCGUGAAGAAGGUCUUCGGAUCGUAAAACUCUGUUGUUAGAGAAGAAAGUUUGCGAGAGUAACUGUUCACGUUUCGACGGUAUCUUACCAGAAAGCGAUGGCUAACUAAGUGCCAGCAGCCGCGGUAAUACGUAGGUGGCAAGCGUUAUCCGGAAUUAUUGGGCGUAAAGGGAACGCAGGCGGUCUUUUAAGUCUGAUGUGAAAUCCUCGGGGUUAACCGGCGGAGUGCUUUGGAUACUAGCAAACUAGAGUGCGAUAGAGGUAAGCGGAAUUCCAUGUGUAGCGGUGAAAUGCUUAGAUAUAUGGAAGAACACCAAUGGCGAAGGCAGCUUACUGGGUCGAAACUGACGCUGAGGGUCGAAAGCGUGGGGAGCAAACAGGAUUGGAUACCCGAGUAGUC